Long non-coding RNA from Tripterygium wilfordii, 1228 nucleotides. RefSeq lists it as uncharacterized. The transcript is spliced from 4 exons. The record is from RefSeq and is a predicted model, not a curated record. NCBI's taxonomy places the organism in Eukaryota, Viridiplantae, Streptophyta, Magnoliopsida, Celastrales, Celastraceae.
GGAAUCCUCCAAUAUGUGCAGAACUGUCCACACGAGGUAGAAAACCAAGCGCCAUAUUUAGGGCAAUAACCAUCACAAGAGUCAUAAGUGCUGCACACUGAACAUACAAGAGUUAAUGACUGAUCUUCACUAUGGCGAAGAGAUAGUCCAGUUUGUGAUGAGCUCAGAAAGCAUGGCUCCCAAAAGACCGAAUAAUGCUCCUGAUGCACCAACUGAAACCAUUGGUGUAUGUCCUUUGGCUUUAAUUGCAGACAUCAAGCUUCCUCCAAAGCCGGAAAGCACAUACAGCAGCCCUAUCCUCACUGUCACAUAGAAGUAUAUGAGAUUCAGUCAAUUGAUCAUAUAGAAGCUCAGUUGUUGUAUCCAUAAAAUGGAUGACUCCAGCAUGAAGCCAUAUGCAAGACAAGAAGCGCCAUCCUUCACCGUCGUCCACCACCAUUUGUAUACUAAGGGCUCCUAGUCUCUUUAGCCUGCCAGAAAUGAAGAGCAUUCAUGCAGCUCAAACGGGGGGGAAAAAAAAACUAGACUCGAGACAUUUCACUUGAAGAAAGAAAAUGAUGAAAUUGAAGAACACAAAACUAAAUAUAGGCAGAGAAAAUGAAAGAUUGAUUGUUCUGGGGAGAGACAGAUCAGAGAUGAGAAUUUCUUACGUGGGGAUGGAAGGUCCAAGGAGGGGAUUUUCCUUAAAGGGUUGAAAGGAAAGCCUCCCAAGAAAUUCAGUGAAAAGGCAUUUAUCUCCGCCGGUGGUCGACGGGCAGUCAUUGACGUACAUAGUAUACACAAAAAUCCCUAUAUCGGCCGUGAAAAUGAGGGGCAUGAGCCAAGAGCGCCAUGGCUCUGGUGCCGGUGGGGUGAAGAAGGGCGGGGAAGGUGGUGGUGGUGCAAGGUAGGGUCCAUGUGCUGUCUCGAUAUCCGAUAUCGGCCUCUUCCCCAUUGCAACGAGGAAGAGUUACACCACUGUGCCCCCACGCAAAUCACGGCGGUGGUAACAGGAGAGGAGGACGAGGAGAGAGAAAAAUAAGGUUUUUGGAUGGCUAGGAAUGACAAAAGGCCUGGUUGUUCGUUAAGUUAGGUACCUUUUCCCGCUAAUAGAAGUUGAUGAAUAGAGAUGGGCCAAAAAUUAAAAAGGAAUUUAAAUAAUAAUCUGAGAUGUCUCGUUGUACUAUAACGUAGAAAGGCAAUCCUUGAAGGAAAUAAAAAUGGGGUUUUCCAAUCGUCCCCGAUUGUU